Molecule: ribosomal RNA, 253 nt
Filed under: uncultured bacterium
Lineage: Bacteria
Description: partial 16S ribosomal RNA
Rfam family: Bacterial small subunit ribosomal RNA
Source: RNAcentral
UACGUAGGUGGCAAGCGUUGUCCGGAAUUACUGGGUGUAAAGGGAGCGCAGGCGGGAAGCCAAGUCAGCUGUGAAAACUACGGGCUUAACUUGUAGACUGCAGUUGAAACUGGUUUUCUUGAGUGAAGUAGAGGUUGGCGGAAUUCCGAGUGUAGCGGUGAAAUGCGUAGAUAUUCGGAGGAACACCGGUGGCGAAGGCGGCCAACUGGGCUUUAACUGACGCUGAGGCUCGAAAGCGUGGGGAGCAAACAGG